AACGAACGCUGGCGGCAUGCCUAACACAUGCAAGUCGAACGAGACCUUCGGGUCUAGUGGCGCACGGGUGCGUAACGCGUGGGAACCUGCCCUUAGGUUCGGAAUAACUCCCCGAAAGGGGUGGUAAUACCGGAUAAUGUCUUCGGACCAAGGAUUUAUCGCCUUUGGAUGGGCCCGCGUUGGAUUAGCUAGUUGGUAGGGUAAAAGCCUACCAAGGCGACGAUCCAUAGCUGGUCUGAGAGGAUGAUCAGCCACACUGGGACUGAGACACGGCCCAGACUCCUACGGGAGGCAGCAGUGGGGAAUAUUGGACAAUGGGCGAAAGCCUGAUCCAGCAAUGCCGCGUGAGUGAUGAAGGCCUUAGGGUUGUAAAGCUCUUUUACCCGGGAUGAUAAUGACAGUACCGGGAGAAUAAGCUCCGGCUAACUCCGUG
Molecule: ribosomal RNA, 433 nt
Filed under: uncultured bacterium
Lineage: Bacteria
Description: partial 16S ribosomal RNA
Rfam family: Bacterial small subunit ribosomal RNA
Source: RNAcentral